AGAGUUUGAUCAUGGCUCAGGACGAACGCUGGCGGCGUGCUUAAUACAUGCAAGUCGAGCGAGGUUACUGUUUUGGAUCCCUUCGGGGUGAAGAAGCUUUAACCUAGCGGCGGACGGGUGAGUAACGCGUGGGUAACCUACCCCAAAGUCCGGGAUAACAGCGGGAAACCGCUGCUAAUACCGGAUGCCUUUACCUUGGGGCAUCUUGAGGUAAAGAAAGGCAACGCUUUGGGAUGGGCCCGCGUCCCAUUAGCUAGUUGGUGAGGUAACGGCUCACCAAGGCGACGAUGGGUAGCCGGCCUGAGAGGGUGGACGGCCACACUGGGACUGAGACACGGCCCAGACUCCUACGGGAGGCAGCAGUAGGGAAUAUUGCGCAAUGGACGGAAGUCUGACGCAGCGACGCCGCGUGAGCGAUGAAGGUCUUCGGAUCGUAAAGCUCUGUCCUUGGGGAAGAAGGCGAAAGCUUGACGGUACCCAAGAAGAAAGCCCCGGCUAACUACGUGCCAGCAGCCGCGGUAAUACGUAGGGGGCGAGCGUUGUCCGGAAUUACUGGGCGUAAAGGGUGCGUAGGCGGCCCUUUAAGUCGGAUGUGAAAGCCCGCGGCUUAACCGCGGAAUGGCAUUCGAAACUGGAGGGCUUGAGUGUCGGAGAGGGUAGUGGAAUUCCCAGUGUAGCGGUGAAAUGCGUAGAUAUUGGGAGGAACACCAGUGGCGAAGGCGACUACCUGGACGAUAACUGACGCUGAGGCACGAAAGCUAGGGGAGCAAACAGGAUUAGAUACCCUGGUAGUCCUAGCCGUAAACGAUGGGUACUAGGUGUGGGUGGUUUCGAUACCAUCCGUGCCGUAGUUAACGCAUUAAGUACCCCGCCUGGGGAGUACGUGCGCAAGCAUGAAACUCAAAGGAAUUGACGG
RNAcentral lists this ribosomal RNA (916 nucleotides) under uncultured bacterium. RNAcentral's name for it is "bacterial SSU rRNA". It matches the Rfam family "Bacterial small subunit ribosomal RNA", at positions 8 to 916 of the family's 1533-position model. The record is from RNAcentral.